GUGCUCUCUUCAGCAGCACAUAUACUAAAAUUGGAAGGACACAGAGAAGAAUAGCAUGGCCCCUGCACCAGGAUGGCAUGCAAAUUUGUGAAGGAUCAUGUACAUGG
Molecule: small nuclear RNA, 107 nt
Filed under: Zalophus californianus (California sea lion)
Lineage: Eukaryota; Metazoa; Chordata; Mammalia; Carnivora; Otariidae
Source: RNAcentral